UUUAUUACAGGAAACACUUUUUACAUUCAUUUGGUACACCGACCCUUGUGCUCACUACGAGCUGAGUGUUUCUUCUACAAACCACUGAGAUUCAGAGAGAAGCAGCAAUUAAGCCAUUCGCUCUGUUGACGGCUAUGUGACGGCGUGGGUGGAGUUCACUGAGGGUGGCACUGCAAACUGCAGCAACGUCAACACUGAAUAAUUGUUAUACAGGUGACACGGUGUACAUACAACUGAUGUGCCAGAGGUCAAAGGCUCCUCAGCGAUGAAAAUUGAUGUUUCUAAUUGUUUAGCAGCAAACUGUUACGUAAGUUUACACUGUUUAUCUCCACAGCAAAGAGCAACCGUGGGUCACAUGUUUAGAAGGAGAGUGUGUUUCAAUAGCAGCUUAUAACAGGCUUCACUGGCGAACAGCUGACAUGCUCGGGGGAUUACAAGCACCAAGCAGCGUCAAGGUUGGAAGUUGAACCUGCGACCAGCGGGACGAGGACUGCAGCCUCUGUACAUCGGGAGCUUGCUCUACCAACUUAGAUCUAAAUCAGCGCCCCAGAGCCUGAAUCAAUAUUGAAUCAUCUGACCUGCUUGUAAAGGCCGCAGGGUUUUCUAGCACCUGUGUGUCCUUUAAUCAGCAGAUCCAGCUCUAAGCCCUGUCUCAACACGUCCACAGCCCCGCUGCAGUGACCUUAGAGCAGGUUAAGGCAGGUAAUCUAUAGAUGACUGUGAUACCCUAUCAAAUCUAAACUGAAGUCCUAACAAACCAAGCAGAAACAAAAACCUGAUGGCUAUUCUUGACGACAGCACUUUGAAACAUGCACGGCACGCUGGGUCCUAUUCUUUUUUUAACAAAAUGGGUAGAAAUAAAACAGGCACCUGGUAAAGGGCAAUCCCUGGACUCAACUUGGAUAAGUGCUGAUGAACUGCUGUUCCACUAGUUUCUGAUUUUCUGUGAUUGAUGUCUCGCAGUAAAUUAAAACGACAUCUAAAGCAUUGGAGAGCUCCUAUGUGUGCGACUAUUUAAAAUAUCGAUGAGUCAGCAUAUUUCUUUUAAAAAUGUCUUCAUUUCAACUUUGACUGUCUUCUAUCCAACAAACAAACAAACAAAAAAACUCCCCCUGUAGAAAGUUGUAUUUGA
This is a long non-coding RNA of Labrus mixtus (cuckoo wrasse), 1132 nucleotides long. RefSeq lists it as uncharacterized. The transcript has 3 exons. The record is from RefSeq and is a predicted model, not a curated record. NCBI's taxonomy places the organism in Eukaryota, Metazoa, Chordata, Actinopteri, Labriformes, Labridae.